UAAACUUAAAAAAAUCAAAAA
This 21-nucleotide non-coding RNA is filed under the name Caenorhabditis elegans. Lineage: Eukaryota; Metazoa; Nematoda; Chromadorea; Rhabditida; Rhabditidae. The record is from RNAcentral.